GAAUUGUUCGCAAUGGGCGCAAGCCUGACGACGCAACGCCGCGUGGAGGACGAAGAUCUUCGGGUCGUAAACUCCUGUCGAGCGGGAAGAACACCUGCCGGGUGAAUAACCUGGCGGGCUGGCGGUACCGCUCAAGGAAGACCCGGCUAACCCCGUGCCAGCAGCCGCGGUAAUACGGGGGGGGCAAGCGUUGUUCGGAAUUACUGGGCGUAAAGGGCUCGUAGGCGGCCAACUAAGUCGGAUGUGAAAUCCCCAGGCUCAACCUGGGAACUGCAUCCGAUACUGGAUGGCUUGAAUUCGGGAGAGGGAUGCAGAAUUCCAGGUGUAGCGGUGAAAUGCGUAGAUAUCUGGAGGAAUACCGGUGGCGAAGGCGGCAUCCUGGACCGACAUUGACGCUGAGGAGCGAAAGCCAGGGGAGCAAACGGG
RNAcentral lists this ribosomal RNA (426 nucleotides) under uncultured bacterium. RNAcentral describes it as "bacterial SSU rRNA". It matches the Rfam family "Bacterial small subunit ribosomal RNA", at positions 359 to 776 of the family's 1533-position model. The record is from RNAcentral.